This 273-nucleotide ribosomal RNA is filed under the name uncultured bacterium. Its description in RNAcentral is "partial 16S ribosomal RNA". It matches the Rfam family "Bacterial small subunit ribosomal RNA", at positions 523 to 796 of the family's 1533-position model. The record is from RNAcentral.
AUACAGAGGGUGCAAGCGUUAUUCGGAAUUACUGGGCGUAAAGCGCGCGUAGGCGGAUGAUUAAGUCAGUUGUGAAAGCCCUGGGCUCAACCUAGGAACUGCAUCUGAUACUGGUCGUCUAGAGUUUAAGAGAGGGAAGUGGAAUUCCAGGUGUAGCAGUGAAAUGCGUAGAUAUCUGGAGGAACAUCAGUGGCGAAGGCGACUUCCUGGCUUAAAACUGACGCUGAGGUGCGAAAGCGUGGGAGCAAACAGGAUUAGAAACCCUAGUAGUCC